AACGAACGCUGGCGGCAGGCUUAACACAUGCAAGUCGAACGGGCGUAGCAAUACGUCAGUGGCGGACGGGUGAGUAACACGUGGGAAUAUGCCUUUCGGUUCGGAACAACUCGGGGAAACCCGUCGCUAAUUCCGGAUGCGCCCUUACGGGGAAAGGAUUUAUCGCCGAAAGAUUAGCCCGCGUUGGAUUAGCUAGUUGGUGAGGUAAAGGCUCACCAAGGCGACGAUCCAUAGCUGGUUUGAGAGAACGACCAGCCACACUGGGACUGAGACACGGCCCAGACUCCUACGGGAGGCAGCAGUGGGGAA
Molecule: ribosomal RNA, 309 nt
Filed under: uncultured bacterium
Lineage: Bacteria
Description: bacterial SSU rRNA
Rfam family: Bacterial small subunit ribosomal RNA
Source: RNAcentral